This 1772-nucleotide long non-coding RNA is filed under the name Brassica napus (rape). RNAcentral describes it as "long non-coding RNA (BNAP_LNC002139)". The record is from RNAcentral. Lineage: Eukaryota; Viridiplantae; Streptophyta; Magnoliopsida; Brassicales; Brassicaceae.
UUAUGAAUCAAUAAUAUUAAUUUUAUCCGAAAAAUUCAGCACUAAAUGCACAAAAAAAAAAAAAAAAAAAAAAAAAAAAAAAAAAAAAAAAAAACCUUAAACUUUAUAAUCCUAAGCAUUAUUCCAAACGAAACCUUAAACCCAACCUAAACCAAACGCUAAACCUUUUCUACUACCUAAACCCUAAAUCCUACCUAACCCUAAACCCUACCUAAACCUAGACCUUAACCCUAUCUAACCCUAAACCCUACAUAAACCUAACCCUAAUCCCUAAACCCUUCAUACUACCUAACCCUAAACCCUGUUUAACCCUAAACCCUACCUAACCCUAAACCCUUCCUAACCCUAAAACCCUACCUAAAACCUAACCCUAAAUCCUACUAACCCUAAACCCUACUAACCCUUAACCCUACCUAACCCUAACCCUACAUAACCCUAAACCCUACUAACCCUACCUAACCUAAACCCUUUCUAGCCCUAAACCCUACCUAACCCUAAACCCCAUCUAACGCUAAACCCUACCUAACCCUAAACCCCUUCUAACCUUAAACCUGACCUAACCCUAAACCAUGCCUAACCCUAAACCCUACCUAACCCUUUUUAGCCGUAAAUCCUUCUAACCCUAAACCCUUUCUAACCCUAAACCAUGCUAACCCUAAACCCUAAAUCCUACUAACCCUAAAUCCUACCUAACCUAAACCCUACCUAACCCUAAAACCUUUCUAACCCUAAACCCUUUCUAGCCCUAAACCCUACCUAACCCUAAACCCCAUCUAACGCUAAACCCUACCUAACCCUAAACCCCUUCUAACCUUAAACCUGACCUAACCCUAAACCAUGCCUAACCCUAAACCCUACCUAACCCUUUUUAGCCGUAAAUCCUUCUAACCCUAAACCCUUUCUAACCCUAAACCAUGCUAACCCUAAACCCUAAAUCCUACUAACCCUAAAUCCUACCUAACCUAAACCCUACCUAACCCUAAAACCUUUCUAACCCUAAACCCUUUUUAACCCUAAACCCUACCUAACCCUAAACCCUACCUAACCCUCAACCCUACCUACCCUAAACCCUUUUUAACCCUAAACCCUACCUAACCCUACCUAACCCUAAACCCUAUCUAUCCUAAACCCUUUUUAACCCUAAACCCUACCUAACCCUAAACCCUACCUAACCCUCAACCCUACCUACCCUAAACCCUUUUUAACCCUAAACCCUACCUAACCCUAAACCCUACCUAACCCUAACCCUGAAACCUACCUAACGCUAACCCUACAUAACCCUAAACCCUACUAACCAUACCUAACCUAAACCAUUUCUAACCCUAAACCCUUUCUAGCCCUAAACCCUACUUAACCCGAAACUCUACUAACCUUAAACCCUACUAACCUUAAACCCUAUUAUUUUCCUAAACCCUUUCUAACCCUAAACCCUACCUAACCCUAAACCCUACCUAACCCGUGCUUGGGAGUCCCUGAUGAUUAAAUAAACCAAGGAUUUUACACCCUACCUAACCCUAAACCCUACCUACCCUAAAUCCUUUCUAACCCUAAACCCUACCUAACCCUAAACCCCUUCUAACCCUAAACCCUUUCUAACCCUAAACCUUACCUGACCCUAAAUCCCUUCUAACCCUAAACCUGACCUAACCCUACCUAACCCUUUCUAGCCUUAAAUCAUACUAACCCUAAACCCUUUCUAACCCUAAACCAUGCUAACCCUAAACCCUACCUAAUUCUAAACCCUACCUAACCCUAAACCCUACUAACUCUAA